Molecule: long non-coding RNA, 2239 nt
Filed under: Ornithorhynchus anatinus (platypus)
Lineage: Eukaryota; Metazoa; Chordata; Mammalia; Monotremata; Ornithorhynchidae
Description: lncRNA (ENSOANG00000044808.1)
Source: RNAcentral
UAUUCUAAGGAAGCCCUUGACCCGACAAUCCAAACUUGUGAUGUCACAUUGCUCUCAGUCUGCUAGUUGGCAACCAGCGCUUGAAAACAUCUGAUGCAGUGGGGUGGAUCCAGUCUGCUGCUUUUGCCAAGAAGGACCAACAAGAAAACUCAGCUCUGCCCUCAGGUGGUCGGGGUGCAGCUACGGAGUGCUACGGGUUUAAAAACAUCUGAGGAUGAGAGUAAAGACAAGGACUUUAGCAACAUUCUUGCAUGGAACUUGACCGGGAAAGAACUCGAAAGCCACAUACCAUACAUUUCAAUUUACCAGCAUGAUUUCAACCAACAGAAAAGCCCCGUACGUAGGCAGUUUUUCCUUCAAAACCACAAUUCACAAGAGGAAGCGAAGAAGUUUCAACAAGAAGUUUCAACAAACACCACCCAGUACAUAUCAACAACAUUUCUGCAACCUCAUAAGAACUACUAUCUGAGCAACACUAAGGAGUCAGAAGGUGUCAUGAAGCUGCCCACUGAAGGCCCUUCAAACAUCACAGAAAUUUUUCAAAGUCCUUCAAAAAGGAUGAAGGUUCAAACCACUGUUACCUGGCACUAAAGAGAGUUUUGACUAUCUGGCUGAGAUUCUUUCCCUUAGCUCAGGUCGAUGUGGCCAUCACCUCUUUAUCCAAGGUAAUGGACGGCACAGUACCAACCAAAUUUACAAACAUAAGAGUUGCAGCUAUUAUCACACAAUGGUCUCCAAAAGAAUACUGCUCCACUCUUUAGGCCUAAAUUUCUUUUUGUCCAAGUCAAGGGAGCACAGACAGAAAAGCACAGAAGAGGACAUCUUCAAUCGGUCAGUCAAUCGUACUUAUUAAGCGCUUACUAUGUGCAGAACGCUGUACUAAGUGCUCGGAAGAGUAUACUAUAACUAUAAACAGACCCAUUCCCUGCCCAUGACGGUUACAGUCUGGUGUGGGGGGGGGAUGGACAGGCAUUAAAAUAAGUAAAUAAAUAAAAUGCAUAUAUAUUGAUAUAGAUGAAUUACAGAUAUAAUAAAUACAUUGGAUAUAAUACAUUAGAGAUAUUUAUUUAUUUAUUGAGUGUUUAUUGUGUGCAGAGCACUGUACUAAGUGCUUGGGAGAGUAUAUAACAGAGUUGGUAGGCAUGUUCCCUGCCCACAAGGAGCUUACAGUCUAGAGGGGGAGACGGACAUUAAUAUAAAUAAAUUACACAUAGGUAAAUAAGUGCUGUGGGGCUGAGGGUGCAAGUCCAAGUGCAAUGGCAACGCAGAAGGGAGUGAGAAGAGGAACUGAGAGCUUAGAUGGGAAAGGCCAGUCUUCUCCUGUGAUUCUUAAUUUUAGAAACAUCAGAUUCACACAACUAUGAUUAAAUAGGAACAAGAUAGACAGUUGCAGAAGUGACACCUUCUAGAGAAGCAGCAUGGCUCAGUGGAAAGAGCAUGGGCUGGGGAGUCAGAGAUCAUGGGUUCAAAUCCCGGCUCUGCCGCUUGUCAGCUGUGUGACUUUGGACAAGACACUUCACUUCUCUGGGCCUCAGUUGUCUCAUCUGUAAAAUAGGCAUUAAGACUGUGAGCCCCACCUGGGACAAUCUGAUCACCUUUCAUCAACCCCAGCGCUUAGAACAGUGCUUUGCACAUAGUAAGCGCUUAACAGAUGUGAUCAUCAUUAUUAUUAUUACAUAUAGCCAGGCUAAGCUCAUCACUACACUGUAAACUUGAGGGCAGGGUCCAUGACUACCAACCUUAUUGGUACAACUCUAGAUUGUGAGCCCCACAAGGGACACCUGUGUAUUCUCUCCCGGCAUUUACUUCAGUGCUCUGUGUACAACAGUUAAUACUAUUACCACUAAUACUAUUUUUUUAAAGGUAUUUCAUCCAAUCAUAUUUGUUGAGCGCUUACUAUGUGCAGAGCCCUGUGCUAAGGGCUUGGGAGAGUACAAUAUAACAACAGACACAUUUUGUUCUGCUAUAGAUGUGUCCUGCUCCACAUUCUGCUAUAGGUGUGCUGAGUUUGAAGUGCCGGCAGGAUAGCCAACUGGAGAUGUCUUGGAGGCAAAAGGAGAUGCAGCAUUGCAAGUCAGAAGAGGGGGCUAGAGAUAGAGUUAGAUAUUGUCCACAGACACAGUCUUACAGAGACUGUAAGGCUCUAGACUACUAAAUAGACUACGGUCUAUUUGUUAAGCCCUUACUUUGUGCCUGGCUCUGUUCUAAGCGCUGGGGUAGAUAUUAGUUUAUUGGGUUG